CAUUCCUUUUAUUUCUUUAUUUUGUCGAAUAUUCCUGGUUAACAUUUCCAAAGUCAGUAUAAAUAGCAGCGGCAACAUUGGCUAUCCCUGUCUAGUGCCUUUUUUAAAUAUCAAGGUUCUCUGUCAUGUCCCCAUUUAUCAUCUCCUUAGUUGAUUUUUUAUUAUAUAUUGCUUUAGUCAUAUUAAUACAUCUCUCUCCAAAGUCCAUAUUUUUUAGUUGUAAUAACAUAAAUUUCCAAUUAAUGUUGUCAAAUGCUUUCUGGGCAUCUAGAAACAUUAACCCCAUUUGUUUUCAGGGCGCAUUAUAUAAUACUCCAAUGUGUUUAAAAUCAUUCUCAUAUUGUUUUUAAUCUGUCCCUUUAGCAGAAAUCCAUUCUGGCCUUAAUGUAUAAAUUCAUUCAAAUACUUUUUAAAUAUCUCUGCUAUUAUCUAAGCGUAUAUUUUAUAGUCCACAUUCAAUAAAGAUAUUUGCCUAUAAUUGUUUAUCUGCAUUAAAUCUGAAUCAUCUUUUAGUAUGAGAAUGCUGUUUCCUUCCAUCCAUGAGUUUGGUAUUUCUGCUUCUAGCAGUACUUCAUUAAAUACUUCCAACAUCACUGGGCUUAAUGUCUCUUCUAGUUGUUUAUAAACUUUUGCCAGUAGCCUAUCAGGCCCUGAUGUUUUAUUAUUCUUUUGUCUUUUAAUUAUUCUUCUGUCAAUUCCUUCAUGGUUAUUCAUUCAUUCAACAUAUCUUUAACUGUGUCUAGUACUUUAGGGAGUUCAGAUUGUUCCAAAUAUUGUUGCAUGUUAUUUUACAGAAUGUUCUCCUUAUCAUACAGUUUCUCAUAAUACUAUUUUUAAUGGGUUUUUUUCUCCUCAUUCUGAUAAUAAAGAGUCCCUUUCUCAUUGAUCUCCUCUUCUUUCUUAUAGGGGCAUUGACUUUGAAGGAAAUAUUGUAGGAUAUGCUCCCUUAGGCAGCCUCUGCAUGUCAAAGGAAUCUGUAGCAAUUAUUCAGAUUUGACAUUUCCAGGUCCUGCCUCAAUCAAUGGCAUUUUGGCACAAUACAUUCUAGACAUGUAGAUUGAGCUUUUUGUAUGCCAUGAAAUAUAUCAGAAGGUGACAAUAUAUUAUAUUGUUUCUGGAAGAGUCUAACUGUGCUCUGAUUGGAAAAUAAGCAGGUUACCACAGAUUAAAACACUCCUAAAUAAUGCUUUUGAAUAAUAUUCUUAGCAAACCUAAUGACAAACAUGAAUCACUCUUAUUUUCUUACAAGAAAUUUAGGAUCUAGAUUGCAUAUGAUUGAAUUAAUGUGCAUUGAGAAAAUGGGGGAAUACUAAACCUACUUAAAAAGAAAAAAAACUGCAGCAUUUUAAGACUCUACAAGAAAACUAUAUUCGUUAAGGUGAUACUAUGCAUUUAUUGAGAAACAAAUAACUUAGUUUUUGUUCACGUAGAAAGAAUGGAGAGACAUGGCAAUAAAAAAACUCAUAAAGUUUUGUUUCUUAAGAAGCACAGUUAGGAUUCAAGUAGUAUGAGGUAAUCCUAAACUUGUUUGCUCAAGAAGGUCAUUUUUAUUCAGAAAGCAUAAUUCAUUCUUAAGCCUGUUUAGGGCUUCAGCCUUCAAUAUUGUGAAAAUACUAACUCGCA
Molecule: non-coding RNA, 1623 nt
Organism: Thamnophis sirtalis
Lineage: Eukaryota; Metazoa; Chordata; Lepidosauria; Squamata; Natricidae
Source: RefSeq, a predicted model, not a curated record